GAUGAAGAACGUAGCGAAAUGCGAUACUUGGUGUGAAUUGCAGAAUCCCGUGAACCAUCGAGUCUUUGAACGCAAGUUGCGCCCGAAGCCAUUAGGCCGAGGGCACGCCUGCCUGGGCGUCACACGUCGUUGCCCCCCCAUCUACUCCUUCGGGAUUGCGGGGGGCGGAUGACGGCCUCCCGUGCGCCUCGCCGCGCGGUUGGCAUAAAUGCCAAGUCCUCGGCGACGCACGCCACGACAAUCGGUGGUUGCGAAACCUCGGUUGCCCGUCGUGUGCGGUCGUCGCGCAUCGAGGGCUCGAAAAAAUUGCCGGGUUCCGGCUCGGCUUUCAACGCGACCCCAGGUCAGGCGGGGUUACCCGCUGUAUUUAAGCAUAUCAAUAAGCGGAGGA
RNAcentral lists this unclassified non-coding RNA (391 nucleotides) under soil metagenome. RNAcentral describes it as "partial contains 5.8S ribosomal RNA, internal transcribed spacer 2, and large subunit ribosomal RNA". The stretch from base 1 to 122 matches the Rfam family "5.8S ribosomal RNA", at positions 35 to 154 of the family's 154-position model. The record is from RNAcentral.